Molecule: ribosomal RNA, 404 nt
Filed under: bacterium enrichment culture clone ALO1_GLFRUDD03FMA6F
Lineage: Bacteria
Description: bacterial SSU rRNA
Rfam family: Bacterial small subunit ribosomal RNA
Source: RNAcentral
GAGUUUGAUCUUGGCUCAGAUUGAACGCUGGCGGCAUGCCUUACACAUGCAAGUCGAACGGCAGCACGGGAGCUUGCUCCUGGUGGCGAGUGGCGAACGGGUGAGUAAUGCAUCGGAACGUAUCCUGGAGUGGGGGAUAACGUAGCGAAAGUUACGCUAAUACCGCAUAUUCUGUGAGCAGGAAAGCGGGGGACCUUCGGGCCUCGCGCUCUUGGAGCGGCCGAUGUCGGAUUAGCUAGUUGGUGAGGUAAAGGCUCACCAAGGCGACGAUCCGUAGCAGGUCUGAGAGGAUGAUCUGCCACACUGGAACUGAGACACGGUCCAGACUCCUACGGGAGGCAGCAGUGGGAAUUUGGACAAUGGGGCAACCCUGAUCCAGCCACGCCGCGUGAGUGAAGAAGGCC